AUGAGGAAGGACUUAAAUGAUGCCCGGGA
Molecule: non-coding RNA, 29 nt
Filed under: Cricetulus griseus (Chinese hamster)
Lineage: Eukaryota; Metazoa; Chordata; Mammalia; Rodentia; Cricetidae
Source: RNAcentral